This 335-nucleotide long non-coding RNA is filed under the name Lathyrus oleraceus (garden pea). RNAcentral describes it as "Pisum sativum (pea) long non-coding RNA (PSAT_LNC033894)". The record is from RNAcentral. Lineage: Eukaryota; Viridiplantae; Streptophyta; Magnoliopsida; Fabales; Fabaceae.
AAAAACAUUACUCAAUCAAAUGAUUCAUUUUAAGAAUUUGAUUUUCGUUUUGCAACCGCAAUAUUUGAUUCUUCAAAUCAGCUACUACACCCUGCUUAUCAAACAAAUCAUUUAAAAAAAAGGAAAUUAAACAGAAAUAUCACAACAACACUCACAAAAUAUUCAAAAGUUAAAUAAAUAAAUUUUACAUAACCCUUGGAAGGGAAACCACUUCAUCCUCCACAAAAUUCUUUGUUCAUGAUAACAUGAUCAACAAUGGUUGGCUACAAUAUCAAAAAUAACAAAAUUAAGUAAAUAAAUUACAAAAAAUUAAUAUAAAAAUCAAAAGCAUAAUU